CCGAUGGCGACCGGCGCACGGGUGAGUAACACGUAUCCAACCUGCCGAUGACUCGGGGAUAGCCUUUCGAAAGAAAGAUUAAUACCCGAUGGCAUAGUUCUUCCGCAUGGUGGAACUAUUAAAGAAUUUCGGUCAUCGAUGGGGAUGCGUUCCAUUAGGUUGUUGGCGGGUAACGGCCCACCAAGCCUUCGAUGGAUAGGGGUUCUGAGAGGAAGGUCCCCCACAUUGGAACUGAGACACGGUCCAA
This 247-nucleotide ribosomal RNA is filed under the name uncultured bacterium. RNAcentral's name for it is "partial 16S ribosomal RNA". It matches the Rfam family "Bacterial small subunit ribosomal RNA", at positions 85 to 334 of the family's 1533-position model. The record is from RNAcentral.